GACUCCUAGGCGCAAAGGUAGCGCGUCUGACGCCAGAUCAGAAGGUUGCGAGUUCAAAUCACGUCGGGGUCA
This is a non-coding RNA of Nematostella vectensis (starlet sea anemone), 72 nucleotides long. NCBI's taxonomy places the organism in Eukaryota, Metazoa, Cnidaria, Anthozoa, Actiniaria, Edwardsiidae. The record is from Rfam.